GAAGCUAUAGAACGGGUGAGUUUA
RNAcentral lists this non-coding RNA (24 nucleotides) under Cricetulus griseus (Chinese hamster). The record is from RNAcentral. Lineage: Eukaryota; Metazoa; Chordata; Mammalia; Rodentia; Cricetidae.